Molecule: ribosomal RNA, 401 nt
Filed under: uncultured bacterium
Lineage: Bacteria
Description: bacterial SSU rRNA
Rfam family: Bacterial small subunit ribosomal RNA
Source: RNAcentral
GUAAUAUAUCGGAACGUGCCCAGUCGGUGGGGAUAACGUAGAGAAAUUUACGCUAAUACCGCAUACGAUCUAAGGAUGAAAGCGGGGGAUUCGCAAGAACCUCGCGCGAUUGGAGCGGCCGAUAUCAGAUUAGGUAGUUGGUGGGUAAAGGCUCACCAAGCCAACGAUCUGUAGCUGGUCUGAGAGGACGACCAGCCACACUGGGACUGAGACACGGCCCAGACUCCUACGGGAGGCAGCAGUGGGGAAUUUUGGACAAUGGGCGCAAGCCUGAUCCAGCAAUGCCGCGUGCAGGAUGAAGGCCUUCGGGUUGUAAACUGCUUUGUACGGAACGAAACGGUGAGCUCUAAUACAGUUUGCUAAUGACGGUACCGUAAGAAUAAGCACCGGCUAACUACGUG